GAUCGGUGCACGGAGCGGAACGGCAGCUCCUUUUCGUCGUCACCUUGUUGUCUUGACUGACUCUCGGUGCCCCUCUGCCACUGUGCCGUACGGGUACUAGCUGCUUACGAUGGGCUUUCUCGGGGCUGGCAUGGCCAUGGCGACGGCGGCGACGGAGGAGGACACGACGCGGCUGUGCGACCUCCCGGAGGCGUGCGUGGCGCACGUGCUCGCGCUCACCUCCCCGAGGGACGCGUGCCGCUGCGCCGCCGUGUCGCCCUGCUUCCGCGACGCCGCCGAGUCCGACGUCGUCUGGGCGCGCUUCCUCCCACCGGACUACCGCGCCAUCCUCCAGCUGCACGAGGCGCCGGCGCGGCGCUUCCCCCUCUCGCGCUCCGGCUCCACGGCGGGGGCGGUGUCGGCGGCGUCGAGCAAGAAGGAGGCCUUCCUCGGGCUCACCGACGCGGCCGUGCUGGCGGACGGCGGCAGCAUGGCGGUGUGGCUGGCCAGGGGGAGCGGGGCCAAGUGCGUGGCGCUGUCGGCGAGGAGGCUCAGCUUGCCGUGGGAGGACGGCGAGUUGAGCUGGACGUGGACGCCCCACCCGCUCUCCAGGUUCACGGACGUGGCCCAGCUGGUGGAAUGCACGUGCCUGGACAUCUACGGCCGGCUCCCCACCGCGGCGCUGACGCCGGCCACCGCCUACGCAGUGUACCUCGUCUUCGCCACCACGGACGCCCACCGCGGCCUGAGCUUCCCGGACCAGGAGACAACGGUUAGCGUGGGUGGCAGUGCCCCGUCCCGCUAUACCGUGUGCCUUCGCCCCGACACCGCCGAGGCACGCAAGUUCAGAGGCGGCAAAGGUACGAAUGGUGGCGUCAACGUGAAGGGGCCGGUGCUACGCGGUGACGGGUGGUGGGAGAUGGAAAUGGGGCGGCUGCGCACCGGCAACGAGGCAGUGGCGGCAGAGGAGGUGGCGGUGAGCUUUGAGAUGCUGGGGUGGUACCACAAGCACGGGCUCGUCGUGGAAGGUGUGGAGUUCAGACCCCUAUGAUCAAUCGAUACCGGGGAUGACCUUGAGUUAAUACGACGUGUACAUUAUUUGUGCUAUGGGUUCAUCUCGUCGAUGGGCUAGCAUGCGGUGUGUGUGUAGCUUGUGAAUAGUAAUUUAGACAACUUGGUUCCAGUUUUCAGUAUCUUAAUUAGUGAUAUUGGAGACUAAUUAUUCUUUUUUUUUCUUUUUUCAUUGCAUGAGAGAUAUUUUUUUAGAAAUCGAGAAAGCUAUUUUCCUA
Molecule: ribosomal RNA, 1268 nt
Filed under: Triticum aestivum (bread wheat)
Lineage: Eukaryota; Viridiplantae; Streptophyta; Magnoliopsida; Poales; Poaceae
Description: partial small subunit ribosomal RNA
Source: RNAcentral